This 465-nucleotide ribosomal RNA is filed under the name Vreelandella stevensii. Its description in RNAcentral is "partial 16S ribosomal RNA". It matches the Rfam family "Bacterial small subunit ribosomal RNA", at positions 338 to 795 of the family's 1533-position model. The record is from RNAcentral. Lineage: Bacteria; Pseudomonadati; Pseudomonadota; Gammaproteobacteria; Oceanospirillales; Halomonadaceae.
CCUACGGGCGGCAGCAGUGGGGAAUAUUGGACAAUGGGCGAAAGCCUGAUCCAGCCAUGCCGCGUGUGUGAAGAAGGCCUUCGGGUUGUAAAGCACUUUCAGUGGGGAAGAAAGCCUUGGGGCUAAUACCCUCGAGGAAGGACAUCACCCACAGAAGAAGCACCGGCUAACUCCGUGCCAGCAGCCGCGGUAAUACGGAGGGUGCGAGCGUUAAUCGGAAUUACUGGGCGUAAAGCGCGCGUAGGCGGUCUGAUAAGCCGGUUGUGAAAGCCCCGGGCUCAACCUGGGAACGGCAUCCGGAACUGUCAGGCUAGAGUGCAGGAGAGGAAGGUAGAAUUCCCGGUGUAGCGGUGAAAUGCGUAGAGAUCGGGAGGAAUACCAGUGGCGAAGGCGGCCUUCUGGACUGACACUGACGCUGAGGUGCGAAAGCGUGGGUAGCAAACGGGAUUAGAUACCCCAGUAGUC